RNAcentral lists this small nucleolar RNA (130 nucleotides) under Mandrillus leucophaeus (drill). Its description in RNAcentral is "Small nucleolar RNA SNORA70 (ENSMLEG00000027371.1)". It matches the Rfam family "Small nucleolar RNA SNORA70". Rfam says of the family: snoRNA U70 seems to be exclusive to mammals and is a member of the H/ACA class of snoRNA which contain H (ANANNA) and ACA box motifs. H/ACA box snoRNAs are involved in the conversion of uridines to pseudouridines (5-ribosyluracil) a constituent of structural RNAs (transfer, ribosomal, small nuclear, and small nucleolar). The record is from RNAcentral. Lineage: Eukaryota; Metazoa; Chordata; Mammalia; Primates; Cercopithecidae.
GUGCAAGGUCAGAGACAUGAACAUGUUAAAGAAGUUGUAUGUGUGCAAUGGCUGCAAACAGCAGCUUCCUUGGUAGUGUAUGCAGCCUGUUUCUUGUAUGGGUUGCUCUAAGAAACCAGGUCUUUCAGAU